Molecule: ribosomal RNA, 391 nt
Filed under: uncultured bacterium
Lineage: Bacteria
Description: bacterial SSU rRNA
Rfam family: Bacterial small subunit ribosomal RNA
Source: RNAcentral
GUGUCAGCCGCCGCGGUAAUACGGAGGGUGCAAGCGUUAUCCGGAUUCACUGGGUUUAAAGGGUGCGUAGGUGGGCAGGUAAGUCAGUGGUGAAAUCCCCGAGCUUAACUUGGGAACUGCCGUUGAUACUAUCUGUCUUGAAUAUCGUGGAGGUUAGCGGAAUAUGUCAUGUAGCGGUGAAAUGCUUAGAGAUGACAUAGAACACCAAUUGCGAAGGCAGCUGGCUACACGGUAAUUGACACUGAGGCACGAAAGCGUGGGGAGCAAACAGGAUUAGAUACCCUGGUAGUCCACGCCCUAAACGAUGAUCACUCGACAUCAGCGAUACACUGUUGGUGUCUGAGCUAAAGCAUUAAGUGAUCCACCUGGGAAGUACGAUCGCAAGAUUGAA